GACGUAGGGCGCGAGCGUUGUCCGGAUUUAUUGGGCGUAAAGAGCUCGUAGGCGGCUUGUUGCGUCGACUGUGAAAACCCGCGGCUUAACUGCGGGCUUGCAGUUGAUACGGGCAGGCUAGAGUUCGGUAGGGGAGAUUGGAAUUCCUGGUGUAGCGGUGAAAUGCGCAGAUAUCAGGAGGAACACCGGUGGCGAAGGCGGGUCUCUGGGCCGAUACUGACGCUGAGGAGCGAAAGCGUGGGGAGCGAACAGG
Molecule: ribosomal RNA, 253 nt
Filed under: uncultured bacterium
Lineage: Bacteria
Description: partial 16S ribosomal RNA
Rfam family: Bacterial small subunit ribosomal RNA
Source: RNAcentral